AUUAUUUUGGCAGAAAAGUGCGUUGGAUUUAGAAUCCUUUUAUGUGGUUGUACCACAAUUAAUA
Molecule: transfer RNA, 64 nt
Filed under: Tenebrionoidea sp. 18 KM-2017
Lineage: Eukaryota; Metazoa; Arthropoda; Insecta; Coleoptera
Description: tRNA-Leu
Source: RNAcentral